Molecule: ribosomal RNA, 492 nt
Filed under: uncultured bacterium
Lineage: Bacteria
Description: partial 16S ribosomal RNA
Rfam family: Bacterial small subunit ribosomal RNA
Source: RNAcentral
AGUGAACGCUGGCGGUAGGCCUAACACAUGCAAGUCGAACGGCAGCACAGUAAGAGCUUGCUCUUACGGGUGGCGAGUGGCGGACGGGUGAGGCAUACAUCGGAAUCUACUUUUUCGUGGGGGAUAACGUAGGGAAACUUACGCUAAUACCGCAUACGACCUACGGGUGAAAGCAGGGGAUCUUCGGACCUUUCGCGAUUGAAUGAGCCGAUGUCGGAUUAGCUAGUUGGCGGGGUAAAGGCCCACCAAGGCGACGAUCCGUAGCUGGUCUGAGAGGAUGAUAGGCCACACUGGAACUGAGAAACGGUCCAGACUCCUACGGGAGGCAGAAGUGGGGAAUAUUGGACAAUGGGCGCAAGCCUGAUCCAGCAAUACCGCGUGGGUGAAGAAGGCCUUCGGGUUGUAAAGCCCUUUUGUUGGGAAAGAAAAGCAGCAGGUUAAUACCCCGCUGUUCUGACGGUACCCAAAGAAUAAGCACCGGCUAACUUCGUG